Molecule: unclassified non-coding RNA, 242 nt
Filed under: Hevea brasiliensis (rubber tree)
Lineage: Eukaryota; Viridiplantae; Streptophyta; Magnoliopsida; Malpighiales; Euphorbiaceae
Source: RNAcentral
GGUUGAGGCAAGAGAAUGUGUGGAGUGAUUUAGGCUAUGCAUCGGAGACUGUGAUUGGAGCUCCUGAAGGGAGUGGCCAUGAGACAUUGAUGGCGCUUAGAGAUUCUGGGGCUGAGAAGUUGGAAGGUAAAUGGUACCAUGAAGAUGAGAUUCUUGAUGACAAAUGGGUUGAGCGCAGUCGAAAGAAGGGUCAGGAACAGGGGUCCCAAGCAAAUACCUCGCAUUUGGAUGGAUUGAAUUGG